GACGAACGCUGGCGGCGUGCCUAAUACAUGCCAGUAGAACGCACAGUUUAUACCGUAGCUUGCUACACCAUAAACUGUGAGUUGCGAACGGGUGAGUAACGCGUAGGUAACCUGCCUGGUAGCGGGGGAUAACUAUUGGAAACGAUAGCUAAUACCGCAUAAUAUUGAUUAUUGCAUGAUAAUUGAUUGAAAGAUGCUAUUGCAUCACUACCAGAUGGACCUGCGUUGUAUUAGCUAGUAGGUGAGGUAACGGCUCACCUAGGCGACGAUACAUAGCCGAACUGAGAGGGUGAUCGGCCAAACUGGGACUGAGACACGGCCCAGACGCCUGCGGGAGGCAGCAGGAGGGAAUCUUCGGCAAUGGACGAAAGUCUGACCGAGCAACGCCGCGUGAGGGAAGAAGGGUUUCGGAUCGUAAAGCUCGGUUGUAAGAGAAGAACGGGUGUGAGAGUGGAAAGUUCACACUGUGACGGUAUCUUACCAGAAAGCGACGGCUAACUACGUG
Molecule: ribosomal RNA, 505 nt
Filed under: uncultured bacterium
Lineage: Bacteria
Description: partial 16S ribosomal RNA
Rfam family: Bacterial small subunit ribosomal RNA
Source: RNAcentral